This 440-nucleotide ribosomal RNA is filed under the name uncultured bacterium. RNAcentral's name for it is "partial 16S ribosomal RNA". It matches the Rfam family "Bacterial small subunit ribosomal RNA", at positions 338 to 795 of the family's 1533-position model. The record is from RNAcentral.
CCUACGGGAGGCAGCAGUAGGGAAUAUUGCACAAUGGGGGAAACCCUGAAGCAGCAACGCCGCGUGGAGGAUGAAGGUUUUCGGAUUGUAAACUCCUUUUGUUAGAGAAGAUAAUGACGGUAUCUAACGAAUAAGCACCGGCUAACUCCGUGCCAGCAGCCGCGGUAAUACGGAGGGUGCAAGCGUUACUCGGAAUCACUGGGCGUAAAGAGCGCGGAGGCGGGAUAGCAAGUCAGAUGUGAAAUCCUAGGGCUUAACCAUAGAACUGCAUUUGAAACUGUUAUUCUAGAGUAUGGGAGAGGUAGGUGGAAUUCUUGGUGUAGCGGUAAAAUCCGUAGAGAUCAAGAGGAAUACUCAUUGCGAAGUCGACCUGCUAGAACAUAACUGACGCUGAUGCGCGAAAGCGUGGGGAGCAAACAGGAUUAGAUACCCCUGUAGUC